RNAcentral lists this ribosomal RNA (336 nucleotides) under [Candida] sp. GJ20M04. RNAcentral's name for it is "eukaryotic LSU rRNA". The stretch from base 49 to 200 matches the Rfam family "5.8S ribosomal RNA". The record is from RNAcentral. Lineage: Eukaryota; Fungi; Ascomycota; Saccharomycetes; Saccharomycetales.
UUUUAUUUAACUAAACCCAACUUAUUAAAUCUAUAAACAAAAAAUCAAAACUUUCAACAACGGAUCUCUUGGUUCUCGCAUCGAUGAAGAACGCAGCGAAAUGCGAUACGUAAUACGAAUCGCAGCUCUCGGAAUCAUCGAAUCUUUGAACGCACAUUGCACCAUGGGGUAUUCCCCAUGGUAUGCCUGUUUGAGCAAUAGUUUCCCUAAUCCUUUUGGAUUGUAUUGUUAAACUAAAAAUAUUUACUACACUAUAAAAAUAAGUGUACCAAAACAUUUUAUUCUCAAAUCAGGUAGGACUACCCGCUGAACUUAAGCAUAUCAAUAAGCGGAGGA